GGUUACUCAACACUUCACAUACUCAAGUUGCUUUGCAUACUCUUAAUUCAAGUACCGUUUUACGCGAAAGUCGACAUUUGUAGAUGAAGACUCCCGGUUACUAAGUACAAGAAUCAUUGGAGUAGAAGAAUUUUUAUUUAUUUUCUUUUUUCUUUUGUUUUUUGUUUUUCUCUUUUUCUUCAUUUUUUUCAUUUUUCAUCAUUUUUUUUUCUUUUUUUUUUUAUAGCAAAGAGAAUAAUAAUUUUCUAAAAAAAUAAUCAUGAGAAGAGUAUUGCACUUAUUGACC
Molecule: long non-coding RNA, 286 nt
Filed under: Coffea arabica (coffee)
Lineage: Eukaryota; Viridiplantae; Streptophyta; Magnoliopsida; Gentianales; Rubiaceae
Description: long non-coding RNA (CARA_LNC008149)
Source: RNAcentral